GAUCGUACGUUGGGCACUAGGUGUGGGGGACAUUCCACGUUUUCCGCGCCGUAGCUAACGCAUUAAGUGCCCCGCCUGGGGAGUACGGCCGCAAGGCUAAAACUCAAAGGAAUUGACGGGGGCCCGCACAAGCGGCGGAGCAUGCGGAUUAAUUCGAUGCAACGCGAAGAACCUUACCAAGGCUUGACAUGUGCCAGACCGCCUCAGAGAUGGGGUUUCCCUUCGGGGCUGGUUCACAGGUGGUGCAUGGUUGUCGUCAGCUCGUGUCGUGAGAUGUUGGGUUAAGUCCCGCAACGAGCGCAACCCUCGUUCCAUGUUGCCAGCACGUAAAGGUGGGGACUCAUGGGAGACUGCCGGGGUCAACUCGGAGGAAGGUGGGGAUGACGUCAAAUCAUCAUGCCCCUUAUGUCUUGGGCUUCACGCAUGCUACAAUGGCCGGUACAAUGGGUUGCGAUACUGUGAGGUGGAGCUAAUCCCUAAAAGCCGGUCUCAGUUCGGAUUGGGGUCUGCAACUCGACCCCAUGAAGUCGGAGUCGCUAGUAAUCGCAGAUCAGCAACGCUGCGGUGAAUACGUUCCCGGGCCUUGUACACACCGCCCGUCAAGUCACGAAAGUUGGUAACACCCGAAGCCGAUGGCCUAACCACCUUGUGUGGGGGGAGUCGUCGAAGGUGGGACUGGCGAUUGGGACUAAGUCGUACAAAGGGGUAAACCAA
Molecule: ribosomal RNA, 714 nt
Filed under: Arthrobacter sp.
Lineage: Bacteria; Bacillati; Actinomycetota; Actinomycetes; Micrococcales; Micrococcaceae
Description: bacterial SSU rRNA
Rfam family: Bacterial small subunit ribosomal RNA
Source: RNAcentral